ACUCAAAGGAAUUGACGGGGGCCCGCACAAGCGGAGGAACAUGUGGUUUAAUUCGAUGAUACGCGAGGAACCUUACCCGGGCUCGAACGACAGGGGAAUAUGGGGGAAACUUCAUAGCCAGCAAUGGUCGCUGUCGAGGUGCUGCAUGGUUGUCGUCAGCUCGUGCCGUGAGGUGUCGGCUUAAGUGCCAUAACGAGCGCAACCCUUAUCUUUAGUUGCCAGCGGGUCAUGCCGGGGACUCUAGAGAAACUGCCAGCGUAAGCUGUGAGGAAGGUGGGGAUGACGUCAAAUCAGCACGGCCCUUACGUCCGGGGCGACACACGUGUUACAAUGGCCGGUACAGAGGGCAGCUACCCAGUGAUGGGAUGCGAAUCUCGAAAGCCGGUCUCAGUUCGGAUCGAAGUCUGCAACUCGACUUCGUGAAGCUGGAUUCGCUAGUAAUCGCGCAUCAGCCAUGGCGCGGUGAAUACGUUCCCGGGCCUUGUACACACCGCCCGU
This 498-nucleotide ribosomal RNA is filed under the name uncultured bacterium. RNAcentral describes it as "bacterial SSU rRNA". It matches the Rfam family "Bacterial small subunit ribosomal RNA", at positions 899 to 1397 of the family's 1533-position model. The record is from RNAcentral.